Molecule: ribosomal RNA, 491 nt
Filed under: uncultured bacterium
Lineage: Bacteria
Description: partial 16S ribosomal RNA
Rfam family: Bacterial small subunit ribosomal RNA
Source: RNAcentral
GUGAACGCUGGCGGUAGGCCUAACACAUGCAAGUCGAACGGCAGCACAGUAAGAGCUUGCUCUUACGGGUGGCGAGUGGCGGACGGGUGAGGAAUACAUCGGAAUCUACUUUUUCGUGGGGGAUAACGUAGGGAAACUUACGCUAAUACCGCAUACGACCUACGGGUGAAAGCAGGGGAUCUUCGGACCUUGCGCGAUUGAAUGAGCCGAUGUCGGAUUAGCUAGUUGGCGGGGUAAAGGCCCACCAAGGCGACGAUCCGUAGCUGGUCUGAGAGGAUGAUCAGCCACACUGGAACUGAGACACGGUCCAGACUCCUACGGGAGGCAGCAGUGGGGAAUAUUGGACAAUGGGCGCAAGCCUGAUCCAGCCAUACCGCGUGGGUGAAGAAGGCCUUCGGGUUGUAAAGCCCUUUUGUAGGGAAAGAAAAGCAGCAGGUUAAUACCCCGCUGUUCUGACGGUACCCAAAGAAUAAGCACCGGCUAACUUCGUG